ACAUCCAGCGAACUUGGCAGAGAUGCCUUGGGUGCCUUCGGGAACGCUGAGACAGGUGCUGCAUGGCUGUCGUCAGCUCGUGUUGUGAAAUGUUGGGUUAAGUCCCGNAACGAGCGCAACCCUUAUCCUUUGUUGCCAGCGAUUCGGUCGGGAACUCAAAAGGAGACUGCCGGUGAUAAACCGGAGGAAGGUGGGGAUGACGUCAAGUCAUCAUGGCCCUUACGAGUAGGGCUACACACGUGCUACAAUGGCGCAUACAAAGAGAAGCGACCUCGCGAGAGCAAGCGGACCUCAUAAAGUGCGUCGUAGUCCGGAUCGGAGUCUGCAACUCGACUCCGUGAAGUCGGAAUCGCUAGUAAUCGUGGAUCAGAAUGCCACGGUGAAUACGUUCCCGGGCCUUGUACACACCGCCCGUCACACCAUGGGAGUGGGUUGCAAAAGAAGUAGGUAGCUUAACCUUCGGGAGGGCGCUUACCACUUUGUGAUUCAUGACUGGGGUGAAGUCGUAACAAGGUAAGCGUAGCGAG
This 527-nucleotide ribosomal RNA is filed under the name uncultured bacterium. Its description in RNAcentral is "bacterial SSU rRNA". It matches the Rfam family "Bacterial small subunit ribosomal RNA", at positions 984 to 1509 of the family's 1533-position model. The record is from RNAcentral.